Danio rerio (zebrafish) is the source of this 638-nucleotide non-coding RNA. Lineage: Eukaryota; Metazoa; Chordata; Actinopteri; Cypriniformes; Danionidae. The record is from RefSeq and is a predicted model, not a curated record.
GGUCAUUAUUUGUAAGCACACACACAUACACACACUUCAUCUCCUCCCCAUAGCUCUCGCUGAUUUGCCAUUCGCUCAUCCAGUCAAAAUUAAAUUUACAAAUCCGAGAGUUUAAGGAGCUCCCUGCAAACACUCAGAAUCCUCUGUCACUUACAGUCUCACACAGAUACAGGGGUGGAAUUAUCAGCUCUGACAUAUUUGAGAUCCUGCAGCACAUCAAAAAGAUGGGAGUGGAAAGUCCUGAGCAUUCAGAUGCUGAUUUCACCUAUGAUUAUGAGUUAAUCAGAAGAGGAGGACUGAUCUUCGCAGCUGUUUUGUUCUGUUUGGGCAUGGUUAUCAUAUUCAGCAAAAAACUCAGAUGUGGAAAGUCCUCUGCUACGCAUGAAGAUAAUGGUGAUCUUUGACCUCUUCUUCGUUAACCUUCACUGCUUUAACUUUCUGUCAGGAGAGUGUUCUUAAAUGACAUUUAAAAGGUAUUGGGACACUUCAAUAUUUUCACCAAGGAUGACAAUAUCUUUUUCACUUUUGGGUUUCAACUUACAUCCAUAUAUAGUCUGCUGAAUACUGUAAUUUUUUUAGUUCACAAGAUCUGACACAAUGUAUGCAAUCACAAUAAAAUGUUCAAAAUGACUCAUAAA